CUCCCGAGAACAGUCCUACUCGCGGGGGGAAGGGUCACCCUGUGCGCGCCUGGCCUGGCUGGUGUCCCCACGUUUCCUGUCCCGCUGCCCCACGGCAAUUUCCGGUUUGCCCAGAUAUCUCCCGGCGAUCUACCUGGCCUGCCCGGGCGGUGAGGACGCUGGGCGAGGACACGCCGGUCCUGGACUGGAUUUCCACCCGCCGGGAAACUAAGACGGCCCGCUGGAAAGCCCCGCGGCCGCCGCGGGGCCUGGGGCUCAGGGGUCUUAUUAAAGAGAGCCGAGCCGUGAGGACACGAUCAAGAUGCAUAAAGCCUUACGACCUCGGCGCUCAGUCCCGCCUCCGGAUCCAGCAUCUCCCUCGCUCACCUGUUUUGGAUGCCGUUUUGUUUUAAAAAAUGGAAGUAAGGGUGCUGAGGUUAUAGCUCAGUGGUGGAGCCCUUGUAACCGAAAGCUCGAUCCUUGUCCCCAAUGCCAGUUCAUGCCAACUUAAUAACUUAAUAAUAAGGACACGGUUCUAAGUUGAAGGACUUUUUUUUAAAUUGUUUUGCUGGCAAAGGAGAAACAGGGGACUCCUGUCCCUGUGAUUCUGCCCAUUAGGGAAAGCAGGGCUUUUAAAAAGCUAUUCAAAGGCUACAGUCCAGGUGUGCCCUGAAGGGGGUUCCCAGGGCGCCCUGAGGGUAUGUUAGGAUUCAUUUGUUAAUUUGGGAGAUAGUCACUUCCUAGAUCCUCAGGCAGACAUCUCCUUCCUGUGGAGCCUGGAUAACUCCAGGUGAUCUUGUUUCCCCGCCCCCAGGUUAGGUGGGAGAGAGGGAGAAGAGGAAGGGAAAAACAUGAACUUUUAAAAAUAAGUCUCAAGGAGCUGGGGCUGGGGCUCAGUGAUAGAGCGCUUGCCUAGCAUGUGCAAGGCACUGGAUCGAAUCUCAGCACAAUAAAUAAAUGAAUAAAGAUUCAUCAACAUCUAACAAAUUUUUUUUAAUUUUUUUUCAGUUAUAGUUGAACACAGUGCCUUUAUUUUGUUUAUUUUUAUGUGGUGCCGAGAAUCAAACCCAGUGCCUCACACAUGCUAGGCAAAUGCUCUACCACUGAGCCACAACCUCAACCCCUAACAAAAAUUUUUUAAAAAUAAACAAAUAAGCCUCAAGCCUGGCGAGGUGGCGAACGCCUGUAAUCCCAGUGGCUCUCGAGGUAGAGGCAGGAGAAUCGCGAGUUCAAAGCCAGCACUCUGUAACAGUGAGGCACUUCUCAGCUCAGUGAGACCCUGUCGAUAAAUAAAAAAAUACAAAGUAGGCCUGAGGAUAUGGCUUAAUGGUGGAAUGCCCCUGAGUUCAAUUCCCAGCACAAGAAGAAGAAGCAGCAGCAGCCCCAAAGCAAGGAGGGCUAUAUCAAAAGGUAAAGUGACUGUUACAUGUUUGCCAAGCAUGCAUGAGAUCUGGGUUUCAGUCCCAGCACAAUGCAUAGGAGGUAUGACCUGGGUCCCUGCAUGUUAAGUGUGUGUGUUUGUCUGUGUGACAUACAUGUUAAAGAUCUUUCAGUAUAAAAGAACAUAGAAAGAUCAUAGCACACCUGUGAUCCCCAGUUACUUGGGAGACUGGGGCAGGAAGAUCACAAGUUCAAGGCCAGCCUGGGCAACUUUUCGAGACCCUAUCUCAAAAUAAAAAUUUAAAAAAGGUAUAGAGGUGUAUCUCAGUGUUAGAGGGCUUUUCUAGUAUACACAAAGUUCUAGAUUUGAUUCCGAGCACUGCAAAAAAAAAAAAAAAGUCUCACUCCGGUUUGGAUGCUGGUCCUUUGGGGUGGAAGUUAGGAUAAAUUAAGUUACUUUCCAUUAGAGGUGGGUGCAUUUCUAGGAAACCAGGACAUGUCAUCAUCCCAAAAUACACUUUGCUGCUGUAAAGUUUCAGGCUGUACUUCCUCACACAUCAGCCAAGAUACUGAAAUAGGAGGGGAUGGAGGACAUUCUGACGGGCUCAGCACUAGAGGAACUUCAUAGAAGGUGCCUCCUGGGAGUAAAUGGCAGGGGUGCACACGCACCUACCCUGAUGUCCUUUUCAGCUGAUGUCCUCAGCCUUUCAACUCUGUGUGCCCUCUCCCCACCCCAGCCUUAAGAAGCCCUCCUCUGCAUGCCCUGGUGUCUUUCUUUAAUACAAAUUUCUUUUCUGUUUUUUUUAAUUAAAUGGCUGUGAAAAAAAAUGUAGAGUUUUUUUUGUUGUUGUUGUUGUUUGUUUUUUUGCUUUCUUUGUACUGGAGGUUGAACCCACAGGUGCUUUAGUGCUUUACCACUGAGCCACAUCUCCAGCCCUUUUUAUUUUUGUUUUGAGACAGGGUCUCACUAGGUUGCUGAAGCCUUCACUAAGUUACAGAAGCUGGCCUUUUGUUCCUCCUGCCUCAGGCUCUUGAAUUGCUGGAAUUAACAGCAACUCUAGGCUCCUAAUUGGGAAGCAGUGAAGUCCUUUUCAGGAGAGACCCCUGGCCUUCCUAAGUGACCUCAACUCUCCUUGAUUCUUCUUGUUAUUCUUCCUCACCCUCCAGCAGCCAGGAUGGGGCUCUUCCUGCAGGAAGUGCCAAAGUUGUGAUGUUAAAAAAAAAAAAAAACAAGGAUUCUUGGCUACUGAGUGCUCCCUUGGAAGUGCUCUGUCCAAACUAAUAUGUGCCCCAAGUGUAAGAUGCAACCUGGAUUUCAAAGACUUUGCAUGAAAAAAAAGAAUGUGAAACAUGUCAGUAAUAAUUUUUUUGUAUGGAUCAUAUUUUGAAAUGAUGACAUUUUGAAUCUAAUGAGUUAAAUAAACUUUAUUAUUAAAAUUAA
This is a long non-coding RNA of Marmota monax (woodchuck), 2800 nucleotides long. RefSeq lists it as uncharacterized. The transcript is spliced from 2 exons. The record is from RefSeq and is a predicted model, not a curated record. Lineage: Eukaryota; Metazoa; Chordata; Mammalia; Rodentia; Sciuridae.